GACGAACGCUGGCGGCGUGCCUAAUACAUGCAAGUUGAGCGCUGAAGGUUGGUACUUGUACCAACUGGAUGAGCAGCGAACGGGUGAGUAACGCGUGGGGAAUCUGCCUUUGAGCGGGGGACAACAUUUGGAAACGAAUGCUAAUACCGCAUAAAAACUUUAAACACAAGUUUUAAGUUUGAAAGAUGCAAUUGCAUCACUCAAAGAUGAUCCCGCGUUGUAUUAGCUAGUUGGUGAGGUAAAGGCUCACCAAGGCGAUGAUACAUAGCCGACCUGAGAGGGUGAGCGGCCACAUUGGGACUGAGACACGGCCCAAACUCCUACGGGAGGCAGCAGUAGGGAAUCUUCGGCAAUGGACGAAAGUCUGACCGAGCAACGCCGCGUGAGUGAAGAAGGGUUUCGGAUCGUAAAACUCUGUUGGUAGAGAAGAACGUUGGUGAGAGUGGAAAGCUCAUCAAGUGACGGUAACUACCCAGAAAGGGACGGCUAACUACGUG
RNAcentral lists this ribosomal RNA (497 nucleotides) under uncultured bacterium. Its description in RNAcentral is "partial 16S ribosomal RNA". It matches the Rfam family "Bacterial small subunit ribosomal RNA", at positions 28 to 507 of the family's 1533-position model. The record is from RNAcentral.